GAGAAUGCCGGUGUGAGUAGCGAAAGACGGGUGAGAAUCCCGUCCACCGAUUGACUAAGGUUUCCAGAGGAAGGCUCGUCCGCUCUGGGUUAGUCGGGUCCUAAGCUGAGGCCGACAGGCGUAGGCGAUGGAUAACAGGUUGAUAUUCCUGUACCACCUAUAAUCGUUUUAAUCGAUGGGGGGACGCAGUAGGAUAGGCGAAGCGUGCGAUUGGAUUGCACGUCUAAGCAGUAAGGCUGAGUAUUAGGCAAAUCCGGUACUCGUUAAGGCUGAGCUGUGAUGGGGAGAAGACAUUGUGUCUUCGAGUCGUUGAUUUCACACUGCCGAGAAAAGCCUCUAGAUAGAAAAUAGGUGCCCGUACCGCAAACCGACACAGGUAGUCAAGAUGAGAAUUCUAAGGUGAGCGAGCGAACUCUCGUUAAGGAACUCGGCAAAAUGACCCCGUAACUUCGGGAGAAGGGGUGCUCUUUAGGGUUAACGCCCAGAAGAGCCGCAGUGAAUAGGCCCAAGCGACUGUUUAUCAAAAACACAGGUCUCUGCUAAACCGUAAGGUGAUGUAUAGGGGCUGACGCCUGCCCGGUGCUGGAAGGUUAAGAGGAGUGGUUAGCUUCUGCGAAGCUACGAAUCGAAGCCCCAGUAAACGGCGGCCGUAACUAUAACGGUCCUAAGGUAGCGAAAUUCCUUGUCGGGUAAGUUCCGACCCGCACGAAAGGCGUAACGAUUUGGGCACUGUCUCAACGAGAGACUCGGUGAAAUCAUAGUACCUGUGAAGAUGCAGGUUACCCGCGACAGGACGGAAAGACCCCGUGGAGCUUUACUGUAGCCUGAUAUUGAAAUUCGGCACAGCUUGUACAGGAUAGGUAGGAGCCUUUGAAACGUGAGCGCUAGCUUACGUGGAGGCGCUGGUGGGAUACUACCCUAGCUGUGUUGGCUUUCUAACCCGCACCACUUAUCGUGGUGGGAGACAGUGUCAGGCGGGCAGUUUGACUGGGGCGGUCGCCUCCUAAAAGGUAACGGAGGCGCUCAAAGGUUCCCUCAGAAUGGUUGGAAAUCAUUCAUAGAGUGUAAAGGCAUAAGGGAGCUUGACUGCGAGACCUACAAGUCGAGCAGGGUCGAAAGACGGACUUAGUGAUCCGGUGGUUCCGCAUGGAAGGGCCAUCGCUCAACGGAUAAAAGCUAC
Molecule: ribosomal RNA, 1180 nt
Filed under: Staphylococcus aureus
Lineage: Bacteria; Bacillati; Bacillota; Bacilli; Caryophanales; Staphylococcaceae
Description: partial 23S ribosomal RNA
Rfam family: Bacterial large subunit ribosomal RNA
Source: RNAcentral